This 253-nucleotide ribosomal RNA is filed under the name uncultured bacterium. Its description in RNAcentral is "partial 16S ribosomal RNA". It matches the Rfam family "Bacterial small subunit ribosomal RNA", at positions 524 to 776 of the family's 1533-position model. The record is from RNAcentral.
UACGAAGGGGGCUAGCGUUGCUCGGAAUCAUUGGGCGUAAAGAGCGCGCAGGCGGCUUGGUAAGUCGGAUGUGAAAACCCGAGGCUCAACCUCGGGCGUGCAUCCGAAACUGCUCGGCUAGAGGUAGGUAGGGGAGAUCGGAAUUCCUGGUGUAGCGGUGAAAUGCGCAGAUAUCAGGAGGAACACCGGUGGCGAAGGCGGAUCUCUGGGCCUUACCUGACGCUCAGGCGCGAAAGCUAGGGGAGCGAACUGG